CCUACGGGAGGCUGCAGUGGGGAAUAUUGGACAAUGGGCGAAAGCCUGAUCCAGCCAUGCCGCGUGUGUGAAGAAGGCCUUCGGGUUGUAAAGCACUUUCAGUGGGGAAGAAAGCCUUGGGGCUAAUACCCUCGAGGAAGGACAUCACCCACAGAAGAAGCACCGGCUAACUCCGUGCCUGCAGCCGCGGUAAUACGGAGGGUGCGAGCGUUAAUCGGAAUUACUGGGCGUAAAGCGCGCGUAGGCGGCCUGAUAAGCCGGUUGUGAAAGCCCCGGGCUCAACCUGGGAACGGCAUCCGGAACUGUCAGGCUAGAGUGCAGGAGAGGAAGGUAGAAUUCCCGGUGUAGCGGUGAAAUGCGUAGAGAUCGGGAGGAAUACCAGUGGCGAAGGCGGCCUUCUGGACUGACACUGACGCUGAGGUGCGAAAGCGUGGGUAGCAAACAGGAUUAGAUACCCGGGUAGUC
RNAcentral lists this ribosomal RNA (465 nucleotides) under Vreelandella stevensii. RNAcentral describes it as "partial 16S ribosomal RNA". It matches the Rfam family "Bacterial small subunit ribosomal RNA", at positions 338 to 795 of the family's 1533-position model. Lineage: Bacteria; Pseudomonadati; Pseudomonadota; Gammaproteobacteria; Oceanospirillales; Halomonadaceae. The record is from RNAcentral.